AACGCACCUUGCGCUCCUUGGUAUUCCGAGGAGCAUGCCUGUUUGAGUGUCAUUAAAUUCUCAAUCUCCUCAUACUAUUUUGUUUGUGGGAGGCUUGGAUUUGGAGUGCUGCUGGCCUUUUUGAAUCAGCUCCUCUUAAAUAUAUCAGCGUGUACCCUCUGUGGAUAGGCUUUUGGUUUGAUAAUUAUCAUAUAUGCCAUUGCCGUGAAGCAAAUGUCAGCUCUCUAAUAGUCCUUCUAGGACAACUUGAUAUUUUGACCUCAAAUCAGGUAGGACUACCCGCUGAACUUAA
This 292-nucleotide unclassified non-coding RNA is filed under the name uncultured Hygrophorus. RNAcentral describes it as "partial contains 5.8S ribosomal RNA, internal transcribed spacer 2, and large subunit ribosomal RNA". The stretch from base 1 to 52 matches the Rfam family "5.8S ribosomal RNA", at positions 103 to 154 of the family's 154-position model. Lineage: Eukaryota; Fungi; Basidiomycota; Agaricomycetes; Agaricales; Hygrophoraceae. The record is from RNAcentral.